This is a non-coding RNA of Ictidomys tridecemlineatus (thirteen-lined ground squirrel), 919 nucleotides long. Lineage: Eukaryota; Metazoa; Chordata; Mammalia; Rodentia; Sciuridae. The record is from RefSeq and is a predicted model, not a curated record.
UCAUCAUAUACUAUUGAGACAUCUCAAUUUAUCACAGGAAGGAUGUACCUCUCGCCCUGUCCUCAACCCUGAUUCAGCCCUCCUGCACCCUGGCCUGAGUGAAGCUGCAUGGAGAGAAGAGUAAGCCAACCUCUGCUUGGAAAUGUUCUCUGUUAGGAAGGGAGACAAAAAUGAGAACAGACAUGUUCUGCAUGAGAUGAGCACAGUAGUAAGCCAUGCACAAGAAGUCCUCGGGCCCAAGGACCAAGCCAACCAGAGUCUGAACAAAGGGAACGGCCAAAUGGAGACACCCAUGGUACUUCGGAACUAGGAAGCUGCCCAGGGAGAAAUAAAUCUAAAAUGGGCAUCAGCAAACCACCACACCUAGGCAGAAGUAGUCGGCAGGGGUGAGGCACGUUGAAGAGGAGGAAACUGAGACGGAGCAGGGACCAUCUCCAAGCAUCUUUCAUCCUCUUCAAGGAAGCACAUUAUAAAAAGCAUCUUAGCCAAUUGGAUUCUUUCCUGACAACAGCUGAAGGUAUUCGAGUCGACAGUGCCAUUCAUCUUGUAUGUAUGGAGGCCCUUCAUUCAUGUUGCUGAAGUAAAUUUGGUUCCUACCAAAACGAAAUAUGAAUAAGAGCAAAGCAAGGUGCGGUGUGAGAAAUGAAUUUGGCCCAAACCAAACCAAAACAAAACUUCCCACCUCUAUAAAUACGGGUGAACAUAAGGCUAAAGGUUACCCAGGGUGGUCUGAACUAGAACCUUCCAGUCUAGACAUACAGGCAGAUGGCAGUCAGAAAACAGAAAGAGCUCAGAGGGCUUGAGUUCUUCAAUACAAAAGGAAUGCUUUAAAAAUGGUAACUGCAUUUUUUUUGGCUUAUCUUUAUAACUUUCAUGAGCAAAUUUCACCUUUGUGAUUAGGCAAAAAAAAAAAAAACAA